Molecule: ribosomal RNA, 46 nt
Filed under: Morinda citrifolia (Indian mulberry)
Lineage: Eukaryota; Viridiplantae; Streptophyta; Magnoliopsida; Gentianales; Rubiaceae
Description: partial 18S ribosomal RNA
Rfam family: Eukaryotic small subunit ribosomal RNA
Source: RNAcentral
AAAUCGUAACAAGGUUUCCGUAGGUGAACCUGCGGAAGGAUCAUUG